RNAcentral lists this ribosomal RNA (497 nucleotides) under uncultured bacterium. RNAcentral describes it as "partial 16S ribosomal RNA". It matches the Rfam family "Bacterial small subunit ribosomal RNA", at positions 28 to 507 of the family's 1533-position model. The record is from RNAcentral.
GACGAACGCUGGCGGCGUGCCUAAUACAUGCAAGUUGAGCGCUGAAGGUUGGUACUUGUACCAACUGGAUGAGCAGCGAACGGGUGAGUAACGCGUGGGGAAUCUGCCUUUGAGCGGGGGACAACAUUUGGAAACGAAUGCUAAUACCGCAUAAAAACUUUAAACACAAGUUUUAAGUUUGAAAGAUGCAAUUGCAUCACUCAAAGAUGAUCCCGCGUUGUAUUAGUUAGUUGGUGAGGUAAAGGCUCACCAAGGCGAUGAUACAUAGCCGACCUGAGAGGGUGAUCGGCCACAUUGGGACUGAGACACGGCCCAAACGCCUACGGGAGGCAGCAGUAGGGAAUCUUCGGCAAUGGACGAAAGUCUGACCGAGCAACGCCGCGUGAGUGAAGAAGGUUGUCGGAUCGUAAAACUCUGUUGGUAGAGAAGAACGUUGGUGAGAGUGGAAAGCUCAUCAAGUGACGGUAACUACCCAGAAAGGGACGGCUAACUACGUG